This 105-nucleotide non-coding RNA is filed under the name Vibrio aestuarianus. Lineage: Bacteria; Pseudomonadati; Pseudomonadota; Gammaproteobacteria; Vibrionales; Vibrionaceae. The record is from RNAcentral.
UUGAGCCGUAUGCAGUGAAAGUUGCACGUACGGUUCUUAUAUGGACUCCCAGUUGUAAUCAACAAAAAAUUUUAAAUAAAGCAGUUGAGAUGCGCGCUUAUAUAC